Molecule: long non-coding RNA, 741 nt
Filed under: Pogona vitticeps (central bearded dragon)
Lineage: Eukaryota; Metazoa; Chordata; Lepidosauria; Squamata; Agamidae
Description: lncRNA (ENSPVIG00000011919.1)
Source: RNAcentral
UCAGAAUUACUACAUAUGGGAAAUAUUUGAAAAUGGUGUAUUAUGAAUUAGUUUUCCUGUGUUUGUUCUGUCGGUUCGUAGUGCAUGAGAACUGAGUUGUAAUGAUCUAUGUGGCGUGUCGGUUCUUGGGGUUCUUGAAACUUCUCUGUCUUCUUUCUUAGCAAGCUCUGCUAAUAUCUUUCUUUUGGUGCAAAAUGACUUCUCUUAAAAUGUCUUGUUAGUAGCACUGCCCUAGGGCACUGUGGCUGAAAUAACAUGUUCUUAAAACAUUGUCCUGUUUCUUGAAGUGCCUGAGGCUCCUAAGCCUGUCCCAGAAGAGAAAGUCCCCGUUCCCAAAAAGGUGCCGGCGCCUCCUGCAAAAGUGCCUGAGGUGCCCAAGAAAGUUGUCCCUGAAAAGAAGGUGCCAGCCCCUCCUCCUAAAAAAGUGGAGGCACCACCUGCGAAAGGUACAUCUAUUCUUACCUGUAUUUUAAAAGAAUAUUCUUUCGUCUUUCUAGAUUGUGUGUUUUCUUAGUCUGUCCAAUACAGUAGGACCUCUGUAUCUGCGGGAUCGAUAUCCACGGUUUCACUUAUCCAGGGUUUGCCACAGCCCUAUACACAACAUACAAGGGCACCCAUUUGUGGCCCAUGUCCUCCUCCUUGUGGCCUUUGUCUCACCCUCUUGUAAGUUGUAUAUAGGGUUCCCUCAUAUCCACAGUUUUAGGCAUCCACGGCAGAUAUGGGGGUCCUACUGCAUGUGUA